CUACGGGACGCAGCAGUCGAGAAUCUUCCGCAAUGGGCGAAAGCCUGACGGAGCGACGUUACGUGAAUGAAGAAGCUCUUCGGAGUGUAAAGUUCUUUUCUCUGGGAGGAAGUUAUUGACAGUACCAGAGGAAUAAGGGGAUCCUAAUUCUGUGCCAGCAGGAGCGGUAAUACAGAAUCCCCAAGCGUUACCCGGAUUUAUUGGGCGUAAAGGGUUCGUAGGUGGUAAAGUAAGUUGAAAGUUAAAACUCAUCGGCUUAACCUUUGAGGUGCUUUUAAUACUGCUUUACUUGAGGGCGUUAGGGGUUAACGGAACCGACGGAGUAGGGGUGAAAUCCGUUGAUAUCGUCGGGAACACCAAAAGCGAAGGCAGUUAACUAGGACGACCCUGACACUGAGGAACGAAAGCGUGGGGAGCAAAAAGGAUUAGAUACCCCCGUAGUC
Molecule: ribosomal RNA, 443 nt
Filed under: uncultured bacterium
Lineage: Bacteria
Description: partial 16S ribosomal RNA
Rfam family: Bacterial small subunit ribosomal RNA
Source: RNAcentral